CUUCCUGCGCUAACUCCUCUGGUUCCUCAGCCCCGGCCGGCUCCUCUUCCCCAGGCACAGCCUGUACUUGGAGACUUCCUGGGUCAUGUCCUCUCUCCCAGGGAACAGGGCAAGGGGCCGCUCGUAGGAUACCUACCUUACUGAUAGAGAUCGUGGGAAGUUAGGAAGCCAGAGUCUUUCUCAAGAAGGAUCAGGGCUUGGAGGGAGGGCCAACCCUACAGACAGGCAGACUGUAUUCCUCGAGGUGUAUGCAGACGUCUCUUCUCCAAAGAGCCCCUGAUUGCAUGUUACAGUGCCCAGAGUUCCAGCAGAGGU
RNAcentral lists this long non-coding RNA (315 nucleotides) under Homo sapiens (human). Its description in RNAcentral is "non-protein coding lnc-CYP26B1-2:1". Lineage: Eukaryota; Metazoa; Chordata; Mammalia; Primates; Hominidae. The record is from RNAcentral.